GAAACUACGCCUACCAUGAAGACUGGAGUUGCUGUAAUCGCGAAUCAGCAUGUCGCGGUGAAUAACGUUCCCCGGGCCCUUGUACACACCGCCCGUCACACCAUGAGAGUCGGUAACACCCGAAGUCUGUAGCCUGACGCAAGAGGGCGCAGCCGAAGGUGGGAUUGAUGACUGGGGUGAAGUCGUAACAAGGUACC
Molecule: ribosomal RNA, 197 nt
Filed under: uncultured bacterium
Lineage: Bacteria
Description: partial 16S ribosomal RNA
Rfam family: Bacterial small subunit ribosomal RNA
Source: RNAcentral